CCUACGGGAGUCAGCAGUGAGGAAUAUUGGACAAUGGCCGUAAGGCUGAACCAGCCAAGUCGCGUGAGGGAAGAAUGCCCUCUGGGUUGUAAGCCUCUUUUAUGCGGGGAUAGAGGUGUGCACGUGUCGCUGUUUGCAGGUACCGCAUGAAUAAGGACCGGCUAAGUCCGUGCCAGCGGCCGCGGUAAUACGGAAGGUCCGGGCGUUAUCCGGAUUGAUUGGGGUUGAGGGGAGCGUAGGCCGGUCUUUAAGCUUGACGUGAAAUUUUGUGUCUCAACCAUGAGAGUUCGGCGGGGACUGGAGAGCUUGAGUGCGCGGAAGGCAGGCGGAAUUCCUGGUGUAGCGGUGAAAUGCUUAGAUAUCACGAAGAACACCGAUUGCGAAGGCAGCCUGCCGCAGCGUUACUGACGCUGAAGCUCGAAAGCGCGGGUAGCGAACAGGAUUAGAUACCCGUGUAGUC
This 460-nucleotide ribosomal RNA is filed under the name uncultured bacterium. RNAcentral's name for it is "partial 16S ribosomal RNA". It matches the Rfam family "Bacterial small subunit ribosomal RNA", at positions 338 to 795 of the family's 1533-position model. The record is from RNAcentral.